GAUGAACGCUGGCGGCGUGCCUAAAACAUGCAAGUCGUGCGGCAGCAUGCCCUUCGGGGUGAUGGCGAGCGGCGGACGGCUGAGUAACACGUGGGAAACUGCCCCGAAGUGAGGGAUAACUGCUCGAAAGAGUAGCUAAUACCGCAUAUGGUCUACGGAUUAAAGCUUCGGCGCUUCGGGAGGAGCCCGCGUAAGAUUAGAUAGUUGGUGAGGUAAUGGCUCACCAAGUCGACGAUCUUUAACUGGUUUGAGAGGAUGAUCAGUCAGACUGGAACUGAGACACGGUCCAGACUCCUACGGGAGGCAGCAGUUAGGAAUAUUCCACAAUGGGGGCAACCCUGAUGGAGCAACGCCGCGUGGAGGAUGAAGGCCUUCGGGUUGUAAACUUCUUUUCUAUGCGAAGAAUAUGACGGUAACAUGGGAACAAGGGUCUGCUAACUACGUGCCAGCCGCCGCAGUAA
Molecule: ribosomal RNA, 461 nt
Filed under: uncultured bacterium
Lineage: Bacteria
Description: partial 16S ribosomal RNA
Rfam family: Bacterial small subunit ribosomal RNA
Source: RNAcentral